CUAACAUUAGAAAUUCAUAGCGAAGAUGAAGUCUGAAGUCCAAACUCUCCUGAAGUGCAAGGCUGCUUAGUUAUUGCCUGCUAUCUGUUAACUGAAGAAAAUCAACUUAUUAAAUGCUCGAUGAUUGCACACUUUACAUUAAAGCUUCCUGGAAGUCUGAACACUGCAGACAGCAGGAGGGAGGAAGGAAACCAGAGAGGAGAGGAACGCGUAGCCCAGGGAUAUGGACAGCUGUCACCAGUGGACAGUGGGGGAAGAAGCUACGUGCAGAAACAGCCAAUGAAACUCUCUUGUACUCUCUGAGACCCACCCCCUGGAAAAUUCAGCACAAAUCUAGCCAAGUACUUUUAAUCUUAAGUGACACAGCUGAACUCAUUUCAGUCUCCAGCUCAGAAUCAAGUCUUUUAUGAAUGUUACUCUUGUUCCUAAACUUUAUCUCACAAAAC
Molecule: long non-coding RNA, 446 nt
Organism: Fukomys damarensis (Damara mole-rat)
Lineage: Eukaryota; Metazoa; Chordata; Mammalia; Rodentia; Bathyergidae
Exons: 3
Source: RefSeq, a predicted model, not a curated record